CUUAAAUAUGGAGUCCAGGUACCUAAGUUAUAAUUACAGCUAAAGUUUGGGAGGAAGCCUAUCCCUGAAGCAAGCAAGCAAAAGGAACAAAAAGCAAAUAUCUCUUCUAACAACUUGGAGGAUGGUUCCUGUUUCAAAUUCCUUCCAUUGAACUUUCUGGCAUGGCCUUCAUGUUUCUCAUAGCCCAGUGAGUGAGAUACUGAAAAACAGACAAUUACAAAGGAAUGUGAUAAUUGGUACUAAAGAAGUAAGCAUGGUGUCUAAUGGAGAAGCCAUGGAGAGAUGUCUAAUAUCUUCUUUGGGAUUAAGCAGAACAAAUAAACAAAUCCAAGAAAGGGA
Long non-coding RNA from Hyaena hyaena (striped hyena), 339 nucleotides. RefSeq lists it as uncharacterized. The record is from RefSeq and is a predicted model, not a curated record. The transcript is spliced from 2 exons. NCBI's taxonomy places the organism in Eukaryota, Metazoa, Chordata, Mammalia, Carnivora, Hyaenidae.